Vicia villosa (hairy vetch) is the source of this 824-nucleotide long non-coding RNA. RefSeq lists it as uncharacterized. The transcript has 3 exons. The record is from RefSeq and is a predicted model, not a curated record. Lineage: Eukaryota; Viridiplantae; Streptophyta; Magnoliopsida; Fabales; Fabaceae.
UUCUUUUAUUCUCUUUUUGUUCAAAAAAUAAUCAAUAAUGUUUAAUUCUGAUCAUAUUUCCAUCUAUAUGGUAGUGUUUCGGUGUUGAUUAAAUGGUGUUAAGUAUUAUAGAUAAUUGGGGAUUAUUUUAGCACUCACUAUCAACCAUUAUUGACGGUCCUAAAAGCUUCGCCGCCGAAAAUCCAGGCGAUUCUUCAACCUUCACUUUGAUUUGUACUUGAUCUGGUUUCUAUUGUUGCUAAAUUUCUUCAUUGUUGAUUUUCUAUGCCAAAAACUCAUCAACCUCUCUUUUCAACCCAUCGAUCUCUCUCUUCAUCCCAUCGAUCUACCAUGUCAAAAACCAAAAUGUUUUUCUUUCAGGCUGAGAUCAACCAAUUUCUCAUUCUUAUCAUCAACAUGUUCUAGUCUUACAAGGAUAUCUUUCUAAGGGAACUCAACUGUAACACCUCAGAUGCUGAAAGGUGUUGCAGCAAAAUGUUGAGAAAUUCUGCACAUAAAUUUGUAUCAAGUGGAAAAUUUGGGCGAAGAUGAUACACUGUCUUUGAUUUGUCACCAUGCUUUCGGACAGAAAUCAAUCCAUUUUGCAGCUAAUCACAACUUAGUCAAAUAGUUGUGGCUGAGUGUGGAAAGUUUCCAUUCGCUCUUAUAAUGGAUCUCAAAGUGAAUUUAUCAAUCAUGAUACCUUGCUUAUUCAACAUCAAGGAAGUUCAUAUCGCCUGGCUCUUCGACCAUUAAUCUUGGUGCUACUUCUUGUGUUCUAUCUCUUUAUUUAGUUAUAUUAAAAAUAUACAAUUUUAUCGGUUAACUUUCCUUCACUUGAAUUC